RNAcentral lists this ribosomal RNA (261 nucleotides) under uncultured bacterium. RNAcentral describes it as "partial 16S ribosomal RNA". It matches the Rfam family "Bacterial small subunit ribosomal RNA", at positions 335 to 613 of the family's 1533-position model. The record is from RNAcentral.
AAACCUACGGGGCGCAGCAGUGGGGGAUAUUGCACAAUGGGGGGAACCCUGAUGCAGCGACGCCGCGUGAGCGAUGAAGUAUUUCGGUAUGUAAAGCUCUAUCAGCAGGGAAGAAAAUGACGGUACCUGACUAAGAAGCCCCGGCUAACUACGUGCCAGCAGCCGCGGUAAUACGUAGGGGGCAAGCGUUAUCCGGAUUUACUGGGUGUAAAGGGAGCGUAGACGGUUCUGCAAGUCUGAAGUGAAAGCCCGUGGCUUAAC